CAGUAGCCACGGUAAUACGUAGGGUGCAAGCGUUGUCCGGAAUCAUUGGGCGUAAAGCGCGCGUAGGUGGCCAUUUAAGUCCGCUGUGAAAUCUAUGGGCUCAACCCAUAGUCUGCACGGGAAACUGUCGGGCUUGAGAAUGGGAGAGGUGAGUGGAAUUUCCGGUGUAGCGGUGAAAUGCGUAGAUAUCGGAAGGGACACCUGUGGCGAAAGCGGCUCACUGGACCAUUUCUGACGCUGAUGCACGAAAGCUAGGGGAGCAAACAGGAUUAGAUACCCCUGUAGUCCCUGUCUCUUAUAA
This 301-nucleotide ribosomal RNA is filed under the name uncultured bacterium. Its description in RNAcentral is "partial 16S ribosomal RNA". It matches the Rfam family "Bacterial small subunit ribosomal RNA", at positions 509 to 809 of the family's 1533-position model. The record is from RNAcentral.